RNAcentral lists this ribosomal RNA (497 nucleotides) under uncultured bacterium. RNAcentral describes it as "partial 16S ribosomal RNA". It matches the Rfam family "Bacterial small subunit ribosomal RNA", at positions 28 to 507 of the family's 1533-position model. The record is from RNAcentral.
GAUGAACGCUGGCGGCGUGCCUAAUACAUGCAAGUCGAGCGAACGGACGAGAAGCUUGCUUCUCUGAUGUUAGCGGCGGACGGGUGAGUAACACGUGGAUAACCUACCUAUAAGACUGGGAUAACUUCGGGAAACCGGAGCUAAUUCCGGAUAAUAUUUUGAACCGCAUGGUUCAAAAGUGAAAGACGGUCUUGCUGUCACUUAUAGAUGGAUCCGCGCUGCAUUAGCUAGUUGGUAAGGUAACGGCUUACCAAGGCAACGAUGCAUAGCCGACCUGAGAGGGUGAUCGGCCAGACUGGAACUGAGACACGGUCCUGACUCCUACGGGAGGCAGCAGUAGGGAAUCUUCCGCAAUGGGCGAAAGCCUGACGGAGCAACGCCGCGUGAGUGAUGAAGGUCUUCGGAUCGUAAAACUCUGUUAUUAGGGAAGAACAUAUGUGUAAGUAACUGUGCACAUCUUGACGGUACCUAAUCAGAAAGCCACGGCUAACUACGUG